This 84-nucleotide transfer RNA is filed under the name Luminiphilus sp. RNAcentral's name for it is "tRNA-Leu". It matches the Rfam family "tRNA". From Rfam's summary of the family: Transfer RNA (tRNA) molecules are approximately 80 nucleotides in length. Their secondary structure includes four short double-helical elements and three loops (D, anti-codon, and T loops). Further hydrogen bonds mediate the characteristic L-shaped molecular structure. tRNAs have two regions of fundamental functional importance: the anti-codon, which is responsible for specific mRNA codon recognition, and the 3' end, to which the tRNAs corresponding amino acid is attached (by aminoacyl-tRNA synthetases). tRNAs cope with the degeneracy of the genetic code in two manners: having more than one tRNA (with a specific anti-codon) for a particular amino acid; and 'wobble' base-pairing, i.e. permitting non-standard base-pairing at the 3rd anti-codon position. RNAcentral also lists the same sequence under 1 other name. The record is from RNAcentral. Lineage: Bacteria; Pseudomonadati; Pseudomonadota; Gammaproteobacteria; Cellvibrionales; Halieaceae.
GCCGAGGUGGUGAAACUGGUAGACACGCUGGAUUCAAAAUCCAGUGGGGGUGACCCCGUGCCGGUUCGAUUCCGGCUCUCGGCA